CUUUGUUGCUGUCAUCUCCUUGGCCUGGUUUCUGGGUUACGAUGCUCUCUUGGGCUGUUUGUUCCUGUCCAGUCCUUCCAGGAUGCUGCCUAAAGCCCAAUGUGCUUGUCCUGAAAGAGUUUGCUUUAACCACAGCCAAGCUCCUUUCUGCUGGAAGGUCUUACCCUGAGUCUGACCGCUAACGGAUCUCUAGACAGAAUUACAGAACGUGAAUGGGAAAAUUGCAUCUUUAUUCUUACUAACCUCUGAUCGAAAUUUGGCAUUUCCUUCCAUUAUGAACGUAAGCAACAAACUACAAUAACAUUAACAGGACCUGUGACCAUCACAAUUACAAAUCACAGAAGAUGGACUAACACUGCCAAUAUGGAGAAUCUGUGUGUAUGAGAGAGAGAAUGGAGACAAAGGGGAGAGAGUUAGUGGCGGUUUUUUUUUUCACACAGUUCCAGCUAAUGUCUGAGUAGGCAGGGUCGCUGCCUACGUGAGGCCGGGGGCAGCGGGCUGCCCAGUGAGGACUCGGCUUAUGGUGGUCUGGUGGAAGACUGUCACCUGGAGGAAGCUGCGUCUGAAGUUGGGAGAGGAGGCGCAUGUUUGGGAAGUGAUAUAUAAUAAGUGGUUGAUAACUGAUUUCUCCAAGCUCCCUGCCCGGUCCCUUCAUCCUUUAGUUUUGGCCCCAAGGACACUGGGCUCUCCCAUUUUCCACACAGGCUUGAACCAGUGAACUCCCUCACCAGGGCUGGUGGCCGAGGAGCUGCCUGGCCCAUGCACAUGGCAAGCCUUGGAGUGCCCUCCUG
Molecule: long non-coding RNA, 791 nt
Filed under: Equus caballus (horse)
Lineage: Eukaryota; Metazoa; Chordata; Mammalia; Perissodactyla; Equidae
Description: lncRNA (ENSECAG00000040425.3)
Source: RNAcentral